CUUGGUCAUUUAGAGGAAGUAAAAGUCGUAACAAGGUCUCCGUAGGUGAACCUGCGGAGGGAUCAUCGCACAAUAAACAUAUGAAGGCUGCACCGCCAACAGGCGGCAAGGCUGGAGUAUUUUAUUACCCUUGUCUUUUGCGCACUUGUUGUUUCCUGGGCGGGUUCGCCCGCCUCCAGGACCACAUGAUAAACCUUUUUUAUGCAGUUGCAAUCAGCGUCAGUACAACAAAUGUAAAUCAUUUACAACUUUCAACAACGGAUCUCUUGGUUCUGGCAUCGAUGAAGAACGCAGCGAAAUGCGAUACGUAGUGUGAAUUGCAGAAUUCAGUGAAUCAUCGGAUCUUUGAACGCACAUUGCGCCCUUUGGUAUUCCAAAGGGCAUGCCUGUUCGAGCGUCAUUUGUACCCUCAAGCUUUGCUUGGUGUUGGGCGUUUUUUGUCUUUGGUUUUGUCCAAAGACUCGCCUUAAAACGAUUGGCAGCCGGCCUACUGGUUUCGCAGCGCAGCACAUUUUUGCGCUUGCAAUCAGCAAAAGAGGACGGCACUCCAUCAAGACUCUAUAUCACUUUUGACCUCGGAUCAGGUAGGGAUACCCGCUGAACUUAAGCAUAUCAAUAAGCGGAGGA
This 627-nucleotide ribosomal RNA is filed under the name uncultured Ascomycota. RNAcentral's name for it is "eukaryotic LSU rRNA". The stretch from base 247 to 400 matches the Rfam family "5.8S ribosomal RNA". Lineage: Eukaryota; Fungi; Ascomycota. The record is from RNAcentral.